UUUGCAUGUCUAUGACCAAACCAAAAAAAAGAGAAAAAAAAAAUUGCUAAAGAAACAAAAGAAUGGAUGGCUGCGUGUAUGAUUACUCUGCUUUACAUGGGCGCCUAGCUGCAAGCGCCUUCAAGUGUGAAUUUGUUAGAAAGGAGACCUCUCCCAAGGAAGUAACCCAGUUGCAGUAUCAGCAAAGUUGGCCAAGACAAAAUCCUUAAGACCAGUGUCCCAAACUUCACAGAACCGUAGCCGCCAAUCAGGUCCCUAAUCCAGGUGCUCUGUCUUUUGAACCUUUGUUUUGGUCCUCUUGCCAGUUAGUAACGUAUGUAGAAACUCGCCUGAAGAACUUGGCUUUGAAAGUAUCCCACACCUGGUAUUUAUAGUGGUUCACUACAGCUGUGCUUUCAGGCACAUUCAGGUACCUGUAUCCACGCUGUAAUCUGAAGUGAUGCACCACGUUGAGAAGGGUUACAUCUAGGAGUUCUGGACGCACAAUAGAUUUGUGCCGUUCAGGAGC
This 508-nucleotide unclassified non-coding RNA is filed under the name Hevea brasiliensis (rubber tree). The record is from RNAcentral. Lineage: Eukaryota; Viridiplantae; Streptophyta; Magnoliopsida; Malpighiales; Euphorbiaceae.